This 254-nucleotide ribosomal RNA is filed under the name uncultured bacterium. RNAcentral's name for it is "partial 16S ribosomal RNA". It matches the Rfam family "Bacterial small subunit ribosomal RNA", at positions 524 to 776 of the family's 1533-position model. The record is from RNAcentral.
UACAGAGGUCCCAAGCGUUGUUCGGAUUCACUGGGCGUAAAGGGUGCGUAGGUGGUCGGGUAAGUCUGAUGUGAAAUCUCCGGGCCUAACCCGGAAACUGCAUCGGAUACUAUUCGGCUAGAGGGUUGGAGGGGGGGACUGGAAUACUUGGUGUAGCAGUGAAAUGCGUAGAUAUCAAGUGGAACACCAGUGGCGAAGGCGAGUCCCUGGACAACUCCUGACACUGAGGCACGAAAGCUAGGGGAGCAAACAGG